GCAUAUCAAUAAGCGGAGGAAAAGAAACCAACAGGGAUUGCCUCAGUAACGGCGAGUGAAGCGGCAACAGCUCAAAUUUGAAAUCUGGCUCCUUCGGGGCCCGAGUUGUAAUUUGCAGAGGAUGCGUCGGGUACGGGUGCCUUCCGAGUUCCCUGGAACGGGACGCCAUAGAGGGUGAGAGCCCCGUCUGGUAGGACACCCAGCCCGUGUGACGCUCCCUCGACGAGUCGAGUAGUUUGGGAAUGCUGCUCUAACGGGAGGUAUACUCCUUCCAAGGCUAAAUACCGGCUGGAGACCGAUAGCGCACAAGUAGAGUGAUCGAAAGAUGAAAAGCACUUUGAAAAGAGAGUCAAACAGCACGUGAAAUUGUUAAAAGGGAAGCGCUCGCUACCAGACUUGGGUUCGGCGGUUCAACCGGGGCCACGCCCCGGGGCAUUCCGCCGGCCCAGGCCAGCAUCAGCUUUCCGUCGGGGGUAAAGGCGUCGGGAAUGUGGCUCCCCUUCGGGGGAGUGUUAUAGCCCGUCGUGUCAUACCCUUCGGGGGGCUGAGGUACGCGCUUCUGCAAGGAUGCUGGCGUAAUGGUAGCUAGUGACCCGUCUUGAAACACGGACCAAGGAGUCAACCUUAUGUGCGAGUGCCCGGGCGUAAAACCCCAGCGCGGAAUGAAAGUGAACGUAGGUGAGAGCUUCGGCGCAUCACCGACCGAUCCUGAUGUCCUCGGACGGAUUUGAGUGAGAGCAUAUAGGGUUGGACCCGAAAGAAGAUGAACUAUGCGUGUGUAGGGUGAAGCCAGAGGAAACUCUGGUGGAGGCUCGCAGCGGUUCUGACGUGCAAAUCGAUCGUCAAACAUGCGCAUGGGGGCGAAAGACUAAUCGAAUCUUCUGGUAGCUGGUUUCCGCCGAA
This 903-nucleotide ribosomal RNA is filed under the name Plectosphaerella cucumerina. Its description in RNAcentral is "LSU rRNA". It matches the Rfam family "Eukaryotic large subunit ribosomal RNA", at positions 38 to 965 of the family's 3401-position model. Lineage: Eukaryota; Fungi; Ascomycota; Sordariomycetes; Glomerellales; Plectosphaerellaceae. The record is from RNAcentral.